This 557-nucleotide long non-coding RNA is filed under the name Nothobranchius furzeri (turquoise killifish). RNAcentral describes it as "lncRNA (ENSNFUG00015012453.1)". The record is from RNAcentral. Lineage: Eukaryota; Metazoa; Chordata; Actinopteri; Cyprinodontiformes; Nothobranchiidae.
AGAUGACAGGAGACUCCAGUUUGCUGGCUGCAGUCCUGACUGUGGUGUCGGUCAUAUCGCUGAGUCUGCUUUCCCUUCUGUGUUUGCGAUGCAAAAAGAAAUCCAAAAUCAUGCUGGAGUCUCAAAUAUAUGACCCACAAAUUUUCCAACGAGGCGGGAGUAAAUUUGCAGUUAUCCGUUCAAAAACAGUCACCAGAGGAAAUCUGAUCUCCUCAGACACAGAUGAGACUCUGGAGCAGUCUGCCUUCCAAGACGGUGAAACGGAGGAACAGGGCGACUAUCUGAACAUUACAGUACCAACAGUCAGCUCCAACCUGGAACAUGAUUAUGUAGCUCCAAUCGCUGUGGCUUUGUAUGAAAAUCAGAAGAACAGAACACUUGAUGAUGAACAAACUCCCGGCAUUUAUGGAAAUGUUUUCCUGUCGCUGUCAAUAGAAGAAGCAGACGAUGAUUAUGAAAACGCUGCAUUCCUGCAACAGAUAGAUGAUGAACCAGAUUAUGUGAAUGAAAAUGGGAAAAGCUCCUGAACGCACCACCACUCUGAUCCACGAGUUUGU